Acanthosepion pharaonis is the source of this 114-nucleotide non-coding RNA. NCBI's taxonomy places the organism in Eukaryota, Metazoa, Mollusca, Cephalopoda, Sepiida, Sepiidae. The record is from the annotation of a GenBank genome assembly.
UUACGGCCGUAUCACGUUGAACCACCGGUUAUCGUACGAUCACCGAAGUUAAGCAAUGUCAAUCCUGGUCAAUACCCAGAUGGGUGACCGCUUGGGAAUACCAGGUGCUGUAAG